RNAcentral lists this unclassified non-coding RNA (233 nucleotides) under Hevea brasiliensis (rubber tree). Lineage: Eukaryota; Viridiplantae; Streptophyta; Magnoliopsida; Malpighiales; Euphorbiaceae. The record is from RNAcentral.
GCCGGUUGCUUGGAUAAUUGUCAAAUUUACGAAGAUACCACCUGUGUGUUUCUGCUGCUGCAAAUACUAGAUUUGCCACCACAAAUGCAAAAAGGAACCAAAUGGUAAGGUCUGCUCCUCCACUAGCAACAACCAUACCAGCAUAUAUAAUAAUCUCAGCCAGAUAGUGCGGAGAUGAAACAAUCUCAAACCAAUCACCGUAAGGGAUAACAUAUUCAUCAAUUCCUCUUCCA